Long non-coding RNA from Myotis myotis, 245 nucleotides. RefSeq lists it as uncharacterized. The transcript has 3 exons. The record is from RefSeq and is a predicted model, not a curated record. Lineage: Eukaryota; Metazoa; Chordata; Mammalia; Chiroptera; Vespertilionidae.
CUGGAACAGUGAUUUGAAUUCUCGUUAUUCAAGGAAAAUUACCUUCUCUUGAUUUCCCGGCUGAAGUGCCCAUUUGAGUUGAUAAUUGAACCAAGGCUUCUGAAAAAUAAACCUGCCAUGGACAGAGACAGGAUGUGAAUACAAACACCGCUUGCUAAACACUCAAACCAUUUGUCCCUACGUGCACUCUGAAGAGUUGGUCUAAAAUGCAAUUUUUGAACUGAAACAACAAACCUUUUCUCAGA